GCCUUCGGGAUGUAGUAGUCAGCGCACUCGACCCGUAUUCGAGAGGUCCGUGGUUCGAAUCCCGGCGAGGGCU
RNAcentral lists this transfer RNA (73 nucleotides) under Stegodyphus mimosarum. It matches the Rfam family "tRNA". Rfam says of the family: Transfer RNA (tRNA) molecules are approximately 80 nucleotides in length. Their secondary structure includes four short double-helical elements and three loops (D, anti-codon, and T loops). Lineage: Eukaryota; Metazoa; Arthropoda; Arachnida; Araneae; Eresidae. The record is from Rfam by way of RNAcentral.